UAUUUAUUUAUUUUUUCAUAAACUAACUAAACGUGUGCUUGUAGGUUUUAAUAUACACGCUAAGCCUUUUUGUUUUUUUAUUUUUCAAUAGAACAGGCAUUUGCUGACAACCAUGGUAAAUGUUCAUGAUAGAUGAUGCUGUCGUCAUCAACUCACAUGACCGUCACGCCUCAUGAGGUGGGAAUAUCUCAUCUCACGAGAACCAUGGAGUUGGCGAGAGAGGUUUUUUAUUAAAUGUAAUAAAAGUUAUUAAUGGGCAGGCUGUAAUAGGAAAAUUGAUAUCACAGUCUCCAUGUAAUGAACUAACGAGAAAAGAAUGCUGAUGGGAAGUUAACAGAUGGAGUGAGUUAUUAUUUUGGGAUUCAAGAUUUUGUUACAAAUCGGCAGUGAAACUGGAAUUGCAGGCGUUUUCUGACAAGGGCGGUCGAUAUACGAGGAAAACCAGCCGCAGCUAAUACCGGGGAGUGUCAACGCAUGGCUGUAUUCGCCAUCCGCUUUCGAUCGAUGGCAACCUGAAGUGACACCAAGUCGGCAAGAAUGAUUGAGUCGAGGCUUAGGACUUGUGGAAACGACAUUUUACACAAGUCAAAGAUAAUAUGAGGAAAUCUCAAGCACUGAAAAGAGGCAGUUUUUAGAAAGAGUUGCCUAGUCCAGAAGUCCUCUCUUGGAUGUUAGACUUUUGCAGAUGCUGAUAAGGUUCACAAUGGCCAUCUUACUGUGAUUACAGACCAGGGAAGAGUAAAUAUCAAUUUAAACUGGAUGAAACAAAAUCUGUAUAUAUAUAUUCCGAUAAUGUUGAAAUGUAAUUAAAAAAUAACAUAAUGAUAAA
Long non-coding RNA from Limulus polyphemus (Atlantic horseshoe crab), 829 nucleotides. RefSeq lists it as uncharacterized. The transcript has 3 exons. The record is from RefSeq and is a predicted model, not a curated record. NCBI's taxonomy places the organism in Eukaryota, Metazoa, Arthropoda, Merostomata, Xiphosura, Limulidae.